Molecule: long non-coding RNA, 1982 nt
Organism: Scylla paramamosain (green mud crab)
Lineage: Eukaryota; Metazoa; Arthropoda; Malacostraca; Decapoda; Portunidae
Exons: 3
Source: RefSeq, a predicted model, not a curated record
UAGCAGAGAAACAUUACUCGGCCAAUAUGCGACUUAAACCGAACAAUGAAUUUUUGAGUUGGUUCAUUUGCUGAUUUAAGUAAUAUAUUCAUCUUUCAUUUCAUUCAUAACAACCUCGUGUCCAAAUCUCGGUGGGAGCUGCGGGGCUGCCGGUUCGGUACGCUUGAACUACUACAUAAUACAGUGGUGACUCCGGAAUCCGACUGAACAGCGGUGGGCAGCGAGUGAGCCUUGUUAUCAUGUAAGCUUUAGUAGUUAAACCUUUAUAAUAUGCUGGAAUUUUACUUUUGUCAUAUGUUAAUGUUUCCUUUAAGUUUGGAUGUUCACGCAGGGAAGCUACAGAACGCCUGACUUCUGAUCUUUCUAAAAUUUCUGACUGGGGCAGAGCAAACUUGGUAUUGUUUAAUGCCUCAAAAACUCAAUUCCUCCAUCUACCAACUCGACACAACCUUCCAGAAUACUACCCCCUCUUCUUCAGUGACACUCAACUGUCCCCCUCUUCUACACUAAACAUCCUCGGUCUGUCCUUUACUUAUAAUCUGAACUGGAAAUUUCACAUCUCAUUUCUAGCUAAAACAACAUCUAUGAAGUUAGGCGUUCUGAGACAUCUCCGCCAAUUUUUCUCACCCACCCAGCUGCUAGCUCUGUACAGGGGCCUUAUCCGUCCAUAUAUGGAGUAUUCUUCACAUGUCUGUGGGGGUUCCACUCAUACCACUCUUCUAGACAGGGUGGAAUCAAAAGCUUUUCGUCUCAUCAACUCCUCCCCUCUAACUGACUGUCUUCAGCCUCUCUCUCAUCGCCGCAAUGUUGCAUCUCUAGCUGUCUUCUACCACUAUUUUCAUGUUAACUGCUCUUCUGAUCUUGCUAACUGCAUACCUCCCCUCCUUCCACGGCCUCGCUGCAUAAGACUUUCUUCUUUCUCUCAGCUCUAUUCUGUCCACCUCAAAUGCAAGAGUUAACCAGUAUUCUCAAUCAUUCUUCCCUUUCUCUGAUAAACUUUGGAACUCCCUGCCUGCUUCUGUAUUUCCACGUUCCUAUGACUUGAAUUCCUCCAAGAGGGAGGUUUCAAGACACUUAUUCUUCAAUUUUUGACUACCGCUUUGCAUCCUUUUCUGGGACUGGCAUCUCAGUGGAUUAUUAUUAUUAUUUUUUUAUUGUAUUUUUUGUUGCCCUUGGCCGGUGUCCCUCCUACAUAAAAAAAAAAAAAAGUAUUGAUACACUCGUCCGUUGCCUCGCCUCUCAAACUCUGCUCAUAAAGGAAUGGAUUUUUGAGAGAGCCCUUCCGGCUUCCGCUACACGAGCCGCGACAUUUGAACCCUGUAACGUGGCGCCUAAAAUCAAUGAAUGAAUGAAUCAAUCAGACAAUCAGUCAUUUCAUAAGUCUUGAAUAAUAACAAAAUAAAAAAAACAAUAAGCAGAAAAAAAACAGAAUGAAGUCAAAAAUAUUAUUAUGAUUGUAAAGUGCUUCGAGGUUUCAAAGCUUCACCAAAGCUGCUGUUUGAGGCUUUGAGUCUUUGAGUUCACCAAGCGUCAUGGUGGACGGGAAAGCCAUGGCUUGAAGGAUUGCACAAAUUUUCAAGAGGAAGCAGAAUUUAUUUCUGCCCAGGGUUCCCAAUGAACCUACUGCCCUACAGUACACUUGCUUACUCCAGGAGGAGCAGAGAACAACACAACCCCUGUUACACUGAACCACAAGGAGUGGAGCAUAGUGUAUAGCUGGAGGACCACCAGAUGGACCUUAAUACAGCACAGUUAAAUGGAAUAGAGGUUCUGUCACCACCACCACCAUCACCACCACGACCCUUGUCACUAAUGAUUGCUUCUCUGUACUAGCUGGUUCCUAAUGACCUUAUUGUUAUGGGGCAGUGUGCUCUAUCAGUUCAUUCUUCUUCCAACAUGUUAAUGACUGUGUGUAAAUUAAUUUCAUACUAAAUCAGCAACAGUACAUCAGAAAGCAUUAGGAUGUGUGUUUAGUGCUUAUU